This is a long non-coding RNA of Pipistrellus kuhlii (Kuhl's pipistrelle), 191 nucleotides long. RefSeq lists it as uncharacterized. Lineage: Eukaryota; Metazoa; Chordata; Mammalia; Chiroptera; Vespertilionidae. The transcript has 3 exons. The record is from RefSeq and is a predicted model, not a curated record.
UAGACUAGGAGAAGCAGAGGACCGAAUUAGUGAUCUAGAAGACAGGGAAGCAAAACACAGCCAAACUGAAUUGCAAUUGGAGAAAAAAAUUAAAAGACAAGAGGAAAGCCUAAGGGAGCUAUGGGACAUCAUGAAACGAAGCAACGUAAGAAUAAUAGGGGUUCCAGAACAACAGAAAGAUGAACAAGGAA